Molecule: non-coding RNA, 660 nt
Organism: Danio rerio (zebrafish)
Lineage: Eukaryota; Metazoa; Chordata; Actinopteri; Cypriniformes; Danionidae
Source: Ensembl
AAUUAGCCAUUUUUGAGGGUGUUUAGGGCCAAAUUAUAAAGGGUCAUAGUAAGAUCACAUAACUUUCACAAGUUUUAAAACUUUUUUUAGUUUUUUGCCUACACAAAUCUCUGAAGAGUUUUAGCUGAACAAUCUCACAGCCUCGUUUCUGCUCAGAAAUUAUUACGGAAUAACGUUAAUUUACAAGGCUAACGGCUAACCGUUAUAGCUAAAAUACAAAAAGGCCUACCUUUUGACCAAUGUCCUUUGGCGUCACCCCACAUAAAAGCUACGGGUUUACCGUGGCGACGUUUGUGGCGUUUGUUGAUUGUGUCGGUCAGCAAUGAGGAGAUUCAUUCUUGUUAAUUCUCUGAGGAAAAGCGCGUUGCUGCUAUGUUCUCCAUCGGCUAUUCCCGCGAUAGUCAUUAACAUCACUGGUCUCCAGUGCGACGCAAACGGCUUAAGUUUGCACCUUCAUCCGGGCUAAUCUCAAAGUUUACUAUAGACGCAGAAACCUGUCCCAGGACUUCCAAGAUUUUCUCAGUAAACCAAUGAUCGAUAUAUGUCAUCGGUGAACCAGAAAACCCUGAUUGCUGGAAAUUAUUUUGUAGCCAGCCAAUUGGAAUGAAACAGACCAUUUUGAAGGCUGAGACUGAACACAUUGUACCUGGGAGCAAAAAG